Molecule: unclassified non-coding RNA, 568 nt
Filed under: Hevea brasiliensis (rubber tree)
Lineage: Eukaryota; Viridiplantae; Streptophyta; Magnoliopsida; Malpighiales; Euphorbiaceae
Source: RNAcentral
GCCGCCGCCGUUACGAAUCACUCCAGCUCCUUGAAAAUAGUACAUCGGCGGAGAAUUCUGAAACAAAAACUUACUUACACCGCUGCUAAAAAUUCCAACAGCCGAUGAUGAGCUUCCUAAGCUUAGAUCUAACGGAAUCGAUUCCACCAUUGCCGGCGCCUUCGCAACCGCAACCGCCGCAGACGACGAUUCAACCGUACUCGUAUCACUCGGACUCCGAAUCACAUCGUCCGGCUGCUGCUGCAUCUGAAAAUUAGUCUUCGCUUUCGCACCUCGAAACUCAAUCGCAGCUUUAUCGUACGCUCUCGCUGCUUCUUCAGCGGUAUCAAACGUACCUAACCAAACACGGCAUUUUUUCCCUGGAUCUCUUAUCUCCGCCGCGUACCUUCCCCAAGGCCUCUUCCGGACGCCUCUGUAAUGCACCUCCUUCACCACCGCCGCCGUCGCCGCCGUCGCCGCCGUCGUACAUUUUGGCUUGGGCGCCAUUUUCAGUUCGCCGUUAACUGGAAAUGGACGAUUAUAUAUAUAUAUGUAUAGAAGUCAUGCUGCUGCUGCUGCUACUGGAGGA